GUGCUCACUUCUGCAGCACAUACACUAAAAUUGGAGCAAUACAGAGAUUAGCAUGGCCCCUGUGCGAGGCUGACAUGCAAAUUCAUGAAGCAUUCCGUAUUUUU
This is a small nuclear RNA of Dipodomys ordii (Ord's kangaroo rat), 104 nucleotides long. NCBI's taxonomy places the organism in Eukaryota, Metazoa, Chordata, Mammalia, Rodentia, Heteromyidae. The record is from Ensembl.